This 59-nucleotide microRNA precursor is filed under the name Nautilus pompilius. RNAcentral's name for it is "Npo-Mir-216-P2c_pre stem-loop". The record is from RNAcentral. Lineage: Eukaryota; Metazoa; Mollusca; Cephalopoda; Nautilida; Nautilidae.
UAAUCUCAGCUGGUAAAUCUGAGUGGUGCCUGCUCUCAACCUUACCAGCAGAGGUUUGA